AAAGUGACAUAAACCUCUCCUUCAUUAGUCUCUCUACUCUUUCUAAAACCUCUUUCCUCCAUUUUUCUACUCUUUCAACUGACGAUGCCAAAGAACGACAAGGAGCAGAGCCAGCCCUCAUAAGAAAGAGUGAGCAAAUUAUCAAACUACCAUGAUUUCUCGUUUCAUUAAUCCUCAUCAUUUCCCUCUCUAUUUUCAGUUCUUUUACACUCUCCACUCCCUCAUUUCUUCUCUUACCGGAGCUAACCAUACCUCCGCCCGCUUCUGCUCCCGAUAAUUCAUUAUAUACUCACCCAGAUUUAUAGCC
Molecule: long non-coding RNA, 307 nt
Filed under: Panax ginseng (ginseng)
Lineage: Eukaryota; Viridiplantae; Streptophyta; Magnoliopsida; Apiales; Araliaceae
Description: long non-coding RNA (PGIN_LNC015636)
Source: RNAcentral